ACUGUCUCGCAAGGGUUACAUCGGUUUGGAGGCUGAAUUGAGGGAGAAAAUAUUAAUUGCUGAAAAUGAGGAAGUCUUGGAUUACUUAAUAAAUAUCAAUUUUGUCAUUAAGUCAUUAAUAUUACUUACUGACGAGUAAUCUAAAAUAAAAAGGUGGUGUUGAAUGUGGAUAUUGUGUAAUGCGGUACAUGAAAGAGAUAGUCUUGAAUGAAUAUCCCCAAUUGGAGAUGAAGUUUGCAACAUCAAAAAACAAACAGUAUUACAAUCAAUCUCAGUAUGAUGAAGCCAGAAGUGAAUGGAGCGAAUUCGUCUACUUCUAUAUAGGUGCUUAAGUGUAGGCUGUGAUAUAAAUUUUGGAUUUAUUUAGAGAUUUAUGAAUACAAAACUUUUAGGUCAUGGUUAAACAUGUCUUUUAUGAAUACACUUUUGGAUUGUAUUUGAUACAUAUUUAUGAUAUAUUUAUUCAAUUUUGAUU
Molecule: long non-coding RNA, 475 nt
Organism: Zingiber officinale
Lineage: Eukaryota; Viridiplantae; Streptophyta; Magnoliopsida; Zingiberales; Zingiberaceae
Exons: 4
Source: RefSeq, a predicted model, not a curated record